RNAcentral lists this ribosomal RNA (460 nucleotides) under uncultured bacterium. RNAcentral's name for it is "partial 16S ribosomal RNA". It matches the Rfam family "Bacterial small subunit ribosomal RNA", at positions 338 to 795 of the family's 1533-position model. The record is from RNAcentral.
CCUACGGGUGGCAGCAGUGAGGAAUAUUGGUCAAUGGACGAGAGUCUGAACCAGCCAAGUAGCGUGAAGGAUGACUGCCCUAUGGGUUGUAAACUUCUUUUAUAUGGGAAUAAAAUGUGCCACGUGUGGGAUUUUGUAUGUACCAUAUGAAUAAGGAUCGGCUAACUCCGUGCCAGCAGCCGCGGUAAUACGGAGGAUCCGAGCGUUAUCCGGAUUUAUUGGGUUUAAAGGGAGCGUAGGUGGAUUGUUAAGUCAGUUGUGAAAGUUUGCGGCUCAAACGUAAAAUUGCAGUUGAAACUGGCAGUCUUGAGUACAGUAGAGGUGGGCGGAAUGCGUGGUGUAGCGGUGAAAUGCUUAGAUAUCACGAAGAACUCCGAUUGCGAAGGCAGUUCACUGGACUGCAACUGACACUGAGGCUCGAAAGUGUGGGUAUCAAACAGGAUUAGAUACCCUUGUAGUC